RNAcentral lists this ribosomal RNA (377 nucleotides) under uncultured bacterium. RNAcentral describes it as "bacterial SSU rRNA". It matches the Rfam family "Bacterial small subunit ribosomal RNA", at positions 29 to 431 of the family's 1533-position model. The record is from RNAcentral.
AGCGAACGCUGGCGGCAGGCUUAACACAUGCAAGUCGAACGCGCGUAGCAAUACGUGAGUGGCAGACGGGUGAGGAACACGUGGGAAUAUGCCCUUUGGUUCGGAAUAACUCAGGGAAACUUGAGCUAAUACCGGAUAUCUCCGAGAGGAGAAAGAUUUAUCGCCAAAGGAUUAGCCCGCGUCUGAUUAGCUAGUUGGUGAGGUAACGGCUCACCAAGGCGACGAUCAGUAGCUGGUCUGAGAGGAUGAUCAGCCACACUGGGACUGAGACACGGCCCAGACUCCUACGGGAGGCAGCAGUGGGGAAUAUUGGACAAUGGGCGCAAGCCUGAUCCAGCCAUGCCGCGUGAGUGAUGAAGGCCUUAGGGUUGUAAAGC